Molecule: ribosomal RNA, 253 nt
Filed under: uncultured bacterium
Lineage: Bacteria
Description: partial 16S ribosomal RNA
Rfam family: Bacterial small subunit ribosomal RNA
Source: RNAcentral
UACGAAGGGGGCUAGCGUUGCUCGGAAUCACUGGGCGUAAAGCGCACGUAGGCGGAUUGCUAAGUCAGGGGUGAAAUCCUGGAGCUCAACUCCAGAACUGCCUUUGAUACUGGCGACCUUGAGUCCGGGAGAGGGAUGCGGAAUUCCAGGUGUAGCGGUGAAAUGCGUAGAUAUCUGGAGGAACACCGGUGGCGAAGGCGGCAUCCUGGACCAACACUGACACUGAGGAGCGAAAGCCAGGGGAGCAAACGGG